Molecule: non-coding RNA, 21 nt
Filed under: Caenorhabditis elegans
Lineage: Eukaryota; Metazoa; Nematoda; Chromadorea; Rhabditida; Rhabditidae
Source: RNAcentral
UGUGUAUCUCAUGAGAAAUUC